GCGGGUGUGGUAUAAUGGUAGUACGUGUGCCUUCCAAGCAUAGAGCGCGAGUUCGAUUCUCGCCACCCGCACCA
Molecule: transfer RNA, 74 nt
Filed under: Ktedonobacterales bacterium
Lineage: Bacteria; Bacillati; Chloroflexota; Ktedonobacteria; Ktedonobacterales
Description: tRNA-Gly
Rfam family: tRNA
About the family: Transfer RNA (tRNA) molecules are approximately 80 nucleotides in length.
Source: RNAcentral